UACUAGAGUAGCACUUGCAUAUCAAUAAGCGGAGGAAAAGAAACUAACAAGGAUUCCCCUAGUAACGGCGAGUGAAGCGGGAAGAGCUCAAAUUUGAAAUCUUAAAGGGUUUCCCUUUACGAAUUGUAGUUUAAAGAAGUGUUUUCUGUUGAGGUUUUGGUAAAAGUUCUUUGGAAUAGGACAUCAUAGAGGGUGAGAAUCCCGUAUUUGACCUUUACUUUCAACUUUGUGAUACACUUUCAAAGAGUCGGAUUGUUUGGGAAUGCAGUCCAAAAUGGGUGGUAAAUUUCAUCUAAAGCUAAAUAUUGGCGAGAGACCGAUAGCGAACAAGUACCGUGAGGGAAAGAUGAAAAGAACUUUGAAAAGAGAGUUAAACAGUACGUGAAAUUGUCAAAAGGGAAGCGUUUGACACCAGUGUUGUUUUUCUGAAAAUCAAUUAAAGAACUGUUUAUGCUAAGCUGUUUAGACUUUAUCAGCUAUCUGUUUAGUUUUGAGCUUUUCUUUAAUGCACUUUUCAGUUAACAAGUCAACAUCAAUUUCUUUUGCUGUAAAAAAGCUUGAGGAAGGUGGCUUGAGAUUCGUCUUAAGUGUUUAUAGCCUCUUGCCUAUGCAGUCGGAGAGAUUGAGGUCUGCAGCGUAGAUCCUUCGGGGCUAAAUGCAUUUGUGCUAAGUUAUAGCAUUUUAUAGACAACUUGUUGACUAUGAUUUGUCUUGUAGCUUACUCGCUUAUGUUAUUUUACCUACGCUUAGGAUGUUGAGCGCAUGUCUCUCUCU
RNAcentral lists this ribosomal RNA (774 nucleotides) under uncultured Neocallimastigales. RNAcentral describes it as "partial large subunit ribosomal RNA". It matches the Rfam family "Eukaryotic large subunit ribosomal RNA", at positions 16 to 616 of the family's 3401-position model. Lineage: Eukaryota; Fungi; Neocallimastigomycota; Neocallimastigomycetes; Neocallimastigales. The record is from RNAcentral.